Molecule: long non-coding RNA, 892 nt
Organism: Panicum hallii
Lineage: Eukaryota; Viridiplantae; Streptophyta; Magnoliopsida; Poales; Poaceae
Exons: 3
Source: RefSeq, a predicted model, not a curated record
GAUGCCGGCUCGAUCCCCCCACCGCAACGCCGCGCCGCUCUCGCUCUCGCUCUCGCCUAGCAAUGGAGCGGGCGGUGAUCGGGAGGAGGAACCACGCGGCGCGGCUAGGGCUUGAUUCCGUCCGCCUCGCCGUGCGGCCACCGCGGUGGUCCUCCUAAUCCGUGUCCCUCCUUGAGGUUCCGAAGCCUUGCGAGGGCGCCAAGUGGAAGGCGGCGGCCUCUCCGCCGAGGGAUGCCUCCCCGUGGGGCUGGGAGAAGAUGGAGUCGACGCGCCGACGCCUUCGUCGCUUCUCUCACCACUCCUAGACCCAAUCAAUGGAGCGAGGAGCCGGCGAGUGGGGAGGGGACUCAACGGCGGACGACUCCGCUUCUCCGCGCCGCAUCGCCCGCCAACCCUAAUGGGGAAGGCCGGGACCUCUCCGCCGCCGCCGUCGCCGUCGGGGAGUCGAGGCGCAACUGGUGGAGCACGGCGGCGACGUGAGAUGCCUUCCGCCGCCUUGCCGUGACGCCUCCAUGGGUCGUAUAUAGUGCGAAAGGAAAGCCAAGCUUAUGAAUGAGAAAGAGCAAUGGAUUUUCAGGUGGCCAGAGCAGAUUAGGAGAGUGACGCCAAGUAUGCUGCAUCUUGAAGAUGGUGUGUGUAAUGCAAAAAUAGAAUUCAAUGGCACCGCAUUGAUGAUCUCGUUAGUGUUAACGCGCAACAGAACAAACUCCUAAUUUGCCUAUCUCCUAAUUUGGGCCACGGUCAGUUAGGCCUAUGUAUAACUUCUUUUGGUCCACGGUAAAUUAGGCCUAUGUAUAACUUUGUAAUAAACUCGGUGCAUUACCCCAGGACUAAGAUGAACUAGAUAGGACAGAUGAGGCCUCACCAUAAAUUCUCAAUUGAAGCCCUCCAA